AGUGGAAUAACUGAGUCAUAUAGUAAUUCUAUGUUCAGUUCCUUGAGGAACUGCCAAACUGUUUUCCACAGCAGCUGCAUGAUUUUAUAUUCUCACCAGUGAU
This 103-nucleotide microRNA precursor is filed under the name Marmota monax (woodchuck). Lineage: Eukaryota; Metazoa; Chordata; Mammalia; Rodentia; Sciuridae. The record is from RNAcentral.